This 253-nucleotide ribosomal RNA is filed under the name uncultured bacterium. RNAcentral describes it as "partial 16S ribosomal RNA". It matches the Rfam family "Bacterial small subunit ribosomal RNA", at positions 524 to 776 of the family's 1533-position model. The record is from RNAcentral.
GACGGAGGGUGCAAGCGUUGUUCGGAUUGACUGGGCGUAAAGGGCGUGUAGGCGGUUUGUCAAGUCGGGUGUGAAAGCCUGGGGCUCAGCCCCAGAAGUGCAUCCGAAACUAGCGAGCUAGAGCGCGAUAGAGGAGGGUGGAAUUCCUGGUGUAGCGGUGAAAUGCGUAGAUAUCAGGAGGAACACCGGCGGCGAAGGCGGCCCUCUGGAUCGUUGCUGACGCUGAGACGCGAAAGCGUGGGGAGCAAACAGG